GACGAACGCUGGCGGCGUGCUUAACACAUGCAAGUCGUACGAUGAAGGAAAGCUUGCUCUCCGGAUUAGUGGCGAACGGGUGAGUAACACGUGACUAACCUGCCCCUUUCUCUGGGAUAACGCUCCGAAAGGAGUGCUAAUACCGGAUACGAACACUGAAAACACGUUCGGAGUUGGAAAGUUUGUCGGAAAGGGAUGGAGUCGCGGCCUAUCGGCUUGUUGGUGAGGUAACGGCUCACCAAGGCGACGACGGGUAGCCGGCCUGAGAGGGCGACCGGCCACACUGGGACUGAGACACGGCCCAGACUCCUACGGGAGGCAGCAGUGGGGAAUAUUGCACAAUGGGCGAGAGCCUGAUGCAGCGACGCCGCGUGAGGGAUGAAGGUCUUCGGAUUGUAAACCUCUUUCAGUAGGGACGAAGCGAAAGUGACGGUACCUAAAGAAGAAGCACCGGCUAACUACGUGCCAGCCGCCGCCGUAA
RNAcentral lists this ribosomal RNA (481 nucleotides) under uncultured bacterium. RNAcentral's name for it is "partial 16S ribosomal RNA". It matches the Rfam family "Bacterial small subunit ribosomal RNA", at positions 28 to 523 of the family's 1533-position model. The record is from RNAcentral.